Molecule: ribosomal RNA, 255 nt
Filed under: uncultured bacterium
Lineage: Bacteria
Description: partial 16S ribosomal RNA
Rfam family: Bacterial small subunit ribosomal RNA
Source: RNAcentral
UACAGAGGGUGCAAGCGUUAAUCGGACUUACUGGGCGUAAAGGGUUGCGUAGGCGGCAGAUUAAGUCAAUGCUUAAAUAUCCCGGCUUAACCGGGAAAAGGGUUUUGAUACUGAUUUGCUUUGAGUCUUGGAGGGGUAGUCGGAACUUGCAGUGAAGCGGUGAAAUGCGUUGAUAUUGCAAGGAACACCAAUGGCGUAGGCAGACUACUGGUCAAGUACUGACGCUGAUGCACGAAAGCUAGGGGAGCGAAAGGG